CGUUCCGGCAGCUUACACAUGCAGUCGAACGAAAUCUUCGGAUUUAGUGGCGGACGGGUGAGUAACGCGUGAGAAUCUGGCUCUAGGUCUGGGACAACCACUGGAAACGGUGGCUAAUACCGGAUGUGCCCUUGGGUGAAAGGUUAACUGCCUAGAGAUGAGCUCGCGUCUGAUUAGCUAGUUGGAAGUGUAAUGGACUCCCAAGGCGACGAUCAGUAGCUGGUCUGAGAGGACGAUCAGCCACACUGGGACUGAGACACGGCCCAGACUCCUACGGGAGGCAGCAGUGGGGAAUUUUCCGCAAUGGGCGAAAGCCUGACGGAGCAAUACCGCGUGAGGGAGGAAGGCUCUUGGGUCGUAAACCUCUUUUCUCAGGGAAGAACACAAUGACGGUACCUGAGGAAUAAGCAUCGGCUAACUCCGUGCCAGCAGCCGCGGUAAUACGGAGGAUGCAAGCGUUAUCCGGAAUGAUUGGGCGUAAAGCGUCCGCAGGUGGCAAUGUAAGUCUGCUGUUAAAGAGUCUAGCUCAACUAGAUAAGAGCAGUGGAAACUACAUAGCUAGAGUACGUUCGGGGCAGAGGGAAUUCCUGGUGUAGCGGUGAAAUGCGUAGAAAUA
This 616-nucleotide ribosomal RNA is filed under the name Nostoc sp. MACC 240. RNAcentral describes it as "bacterial SSU rRNA". It matches the Rfam family "Bacterial small subunit ribosomal RNA", at positions 34 to 698 of the family's 1533-position model. The record is from RNAcentral. Lineage: Bacteria; Bacillati; Cyanobacteriota; Cyanophyceae; Nostocales; Nostocaceae.